GGCCUUUCAAAUCUCCAUGGGAAUCCCUAUAUUAAGGGUGCCGUUUCGGCGGCUAUGGCGAUAAACGUCAUGUGAAAUAAGCGUUGCGGACCCGGGGGCAGUACCC
Molecule: transfer-messenger RNA, 106 nt
Filed under: Alphaproteobacteria bacterium
Lineage: Bacteria; Pseudomonadati; Pseudomonadota; Alphaproteobacteria
Description: partial transfer-messenger RNA
Rfam family: Alphaproteobacteria transfer-messenger RNA
About the family: Bacterial tmRNA, also known as 10Sa RNA or SsrA, is named for its dual tRNA and mRNA-like properties. Its role is to liberate the mRNA from a stalled ribosome.
Source: RNAcentral